UACGAAGGGGGCUAGCGUUGUUCGGAAUUACUGGGCGUAAAGCGCACGUAGGCGGACAUUUAAGUCAGGGGUGAAAUCCCGGGGCUCAACCCCGGAACUGCCUUUGAUACUGGGUGUCUUGAGUGUGGAAGAGGUCGGUGGAAUUGCGAGUGUAGAGGUGAAAUUCGUAGAUAUUCGCAGGAACACCAGUGGCGAAGGCGGCCGACUGGUCCACAACUGACGCUGAGGUGCGAAAGCGUGGGGAGCAAACAGG
RNAcentral lists this ribosomal RNA (253 nucleotides) under uncultured bacterium. RNAcentral describes it as "partial 16S ribosomal RNA". It matches the Rfam family "Bacterial small subunit ribosomal RNA", at positions 524 to 776 of the family's 1533-position model. The record is from RNAcentral.